CCUACGGGUGGCAGCAGUGAGGAAUAUUGGUCAAUGGGCGGAAGCCUGAACCAGCCAAGUAGCGUGCAGGAUGACGGUCCUAUGGAUUGUAAACCUCUUUUGUCGGGGAACAAAGGCGCCCACGGGUAGGCGGAUGAGUGUACCCGAAGAAAAAGCAUCGGCUAACUCCGUGCCAGCAGCCGCGGUAAUACGGGGGGUGCGAGCGUUGUCCGGAAUCAUUGGGCGUAAAGGGUUCGUAGGCGGUAAGGUAAGUCUGAUGUGAAAGCCCGGGGCUCAACGCCGGUUCGGCCUUGGAUACUAUUUGGCUAGAAUGUGGUAGAGGUAAACGGAAUUCCUGGUGUAGCGGUGAAAUGCGUAGAUAUCAGGAGGAACAUCGGUGGCGAAAGCGCUUUACUGGACCAUUAUUGACGCUGAGGAACGAAAGCCAGGGGAGCAAAUGGGAUUAGAUACCCUUGUAGUC
This 460-nucleotide ribosomal RNA is filed under the name uncultured bacterium. RNAcentral describes it as "partial 16S ribosomal RNA". It matches the Rfam family "Bacterial small subunit ribosomal RNA", at positions 338 to 795 of the family's 1533-position model. The record is from RNAcentral.